This is a long non-coding RNA of Solanum pennellii, 559 nucleotides long. RefSeq lists it as uncharacterized. The record is from RefSeq and is a predicted model, not a curated record. Lineage: Eukaryota; Viridiplantae; Streptophyta; Magnoliopsida; Solanales; Solanaceae. The transcript has 2 exons.
CAUAAUUGACCCUUCUGCCUUACUUCUUCCGACAAUUCCGAAUAAAGCCCAACUCUACAAACCCCAGACCCUAUUUCCUUUUAUUCCCUUCCAGCUCAUUUCUUCAACCUUAGUCGCCACCCUCCAAAACCCACUCCCUCACAAUAUUCCAGGUGCAAACAACCCCAACUCCCCAUCAAACAACCCCGAACCCGCCUCAGAACAACUCUCCAAACACCCCAAACGACCUUCUCUAGCCACCGAACUUCGGUGAGCCACAAACCCUUCGCUCUUUUUCUCUAACAACCAGACCCACCUUUGUUCUUCCUAACAACUAGAAAUCGACCGGGAUCCGACGAAUAGACAACCAAAAUGAAGCUCUAAGCACGCUAGUGCAAAUCAAAACCAGACCACCGUGAUGCCAACAUAACUUCGGUAAAGAGGUACUCGAAGAUGUUUAAAAUUGGAGUUAUUCGAACAAAGUUUUAAAUGUAUUGUGUAUUCAUUAUUGUGUAUAUUAUUGACGUUAGGCAAACCUUAAGACGAUUUUUACAUUAUUAUUUUAUAUAUUAUUUGUGUA